RNAcentral lists this ribosomal RNA (292 nucleotides) under uncultured bacterium. Its description in RNAcentral is "partial 16S ribosomal RNA". It matches the Rfam family "Archaeal small subunit ribosomal RNA", at positions 455 to 747 of the family's 1478-position model. The record is from RNAcentral.
GUGCAGCAGCCGCGGUAAUACCGGCCGCCCGAGUGAUGGCCGAUAUUAUUGGGCCUAAAGCGUCCGUAGCUGGCCGAACAAGUCCGUCGGGAAAUCCACGUGCUUAACACGUGGGCGACCGGCGGAAACUGUUCGGCUUGGGGCCGGAGGACCCGAGGGGUCCGUCCGGGGUAGGCGUGAAAUCCUGUAAUCCCGCACGGACCACCGAUGGCGAAAGCACUUCGAGAAAACGGAUCCGACAGUGAGGGACGAAAGCCAGGGUCUCCAACCGGAUUAGAAACCCGGGUAGUCC